UAAUACCAGCGGUCCAAGUAGCUACCAUGUUAUUGGGUCUAAAGCGUUCGUAGCUUGUUUAGUAAAUCUCUUGUGAAAUCUUGCCUCCUAAGGGCAAGGCGUGCAAGAGACACUGCUGGACUAGAGACUGGGAGAAGCUAGAGGAAUGCCCAGAGAAGCGGUAAAAUGCUAUAAUCCUGGGUAGACCACCAAUGGCGAAGGCAUCUAGCUAGAACAGGUCUGACAGUGAGGAACGAAAGCUAGGGGAGCGAACAGGAUUAGAUACCCUGGUAGUCCUAGCCCUAAACGCUGCUGACUAAACAUUGUUUUCUCCUCGAGAGAAAGCAGUGCUGUAGUGAAGACGAUAAGUCAGCCACCUGGGGAGUACGGUCGCAAGGCUG
Molecule: ribosomal RNA, 380 nt
Filed under: uncultured archaeon
Lineage: Archaea
Description: bacterial SSU rRNA
Rfam family: Archaeal small subunit ribosomal RNA
Source: RNAcentral